ACUGGCACAAUGAUGAUACCACUUUUGCCGUUUACCCAUCAGAGGGUUUCUUUGAAGAAAUAUUUGAGACUGAGAUGCCAGU
Molecule: small nucleolar RNA, 82 nt
Organism: Suncus etruscus (white-toothed pygmy shrew)
Lineage: Eukaryota; Metazoa; Chordata; Mammalia; Eulipotyphla; Soricidae
Product: small nucleolar RNA SNORD87
Exons: 1
Source: RefSeq, a predicted model, not a curated record